GAGGAGUCCCAGGGAAGGGGACGUCUCCUCUACCUGGGCCAGGCUGGGAAGGCUUCAUGGUGGAGACGGCGGGCCCAGGCGCGUGGGCCCGGAGUGGGGCGGGAAAUGCGCUGGGGAGGCGAGGCUGUGCCGGGAUGCUGGGCCCAGCCUCUCCUGGGCCCCUAGAGCCAGCCCGGGAAAGAGGAGUUUAAGACCAAGCAUGUUCUGAGAACACCACACAGCAAGUACUGGGCUACAUGUUGUACAGACAUUCUCAUCAUGUCACUGGAACUUCUCAGCUAACCUGAGCACCUGAGCAAAAGACCUCUGCAGCUGAGUCCAAAGAGCAUUCCCAUGUGAACCGAGCAACCAAGUAUCAUCGGAGUGGCUGAGCCUGGGAUUUCCAACUUGGGAGACUACACAGUGGACUCUAUAAUGAUUAGUGGCAGCAUCCAAUGUCUCUUCCAAGUCUAAAAUUUAUGAAUUUUAAACUGGAGUUGCACCAACUGUGAGACAGCCUCAACCCCAAUGUUAA
RNAcentral lists this long non-coding RNA (514 nucleotides) under Homo sapiens (human). Its description in RNAcentral is "non-protein coding lnc-P3H1-1:5". The record is from RNAcentral. Lineage: Eukaryota; Metazoa; Chordata; Mammalia; Primates; Hominidae.